CCUACGGGAGGCAGCAGUGGGGGAUAUUGCACAAUGGGGGGAACCCUGAUGCAGCGACGCCGCGUGGGUGAAGGAGCGUUUCGGCGCGUAAAGCCCUAUUGGCAGGGAAGAAGGAGGACGGUACCUGACCAAGAAGCCCCGACUAACUACGUGCCAGCAGCCGCGGUAAUACGGAGGGGGCAAGUGUUAUCCGGAUUUACUGGGUGUAAAGGGGGCGCUGAGGGCAGCGCAAGCCAGGGGGGAAAGCCCGGGGCCCAACUCCGGGACGGCUCUUGGAACUGCGCGGCUGGAGUGCAGGAGGGGGAGGCGGAAUUCCUGGUGUAGCGGUGAAAUGCGUAGAUAUCAGGAGGAACACCGGUGGCGAAGGCGGCCUGCUGGACUGCGACUGACGUUGAGGCCCGAAAGCGUGGGGAGCAAACAGGAUUAGAUACCCCAGUAGUC
RNAcentral lists this ribosomal RNA (441 nucleotides) under uncultured bacterium. RNAcentral describes it as "partial 16S ribosomal RNA". It matches the Rfam family "Bacterial small subunit ribosomal RNA", at positions 338 to 795 of the family's 1533-position model. The record is from RNAcentral.